RNAcentral lists this ribosomal RNA (205 nucleotides) under uncultured bacterium. Its description in RNAcentral is "partial 16S ribosomal RNA". It matches the Rfam family "Bacterial small subunit ribosomal RNA", at positions 29 to 226 of the family's 1533-position model. The record is from RNAcentral.
AACUAACGCUGGCGGCGUGCCUAACACAUGCAAGUCGAACGAGAAAGUUGGCUUCGGCCGAUGAGUAAAGUGGCGCACGGGUGAGUAACACGUGGGUAACCUACCCAUCAGCGGGGGAUAACACUUGGAAACAGGUGCUAAUACCGCAUAAUUCUUUUCUUCGCCUGAAGGGAAGAUGAAAGACGCUUUUGCGUCACUGAUGGAU